UAAGGCGGUAAUCACAUAUUUUCAGUAUAUAU
Molecule: small RNA, 32 nt
Filed under: Arabidopsis thaliana (thale cress)
Lineage: Eukaryota; Viridiplantae; Streptophyta; Magnoliopsida; Brassicales; Brassicaceae
Description: ATSL014780
Source: RNAcentral